UAAUGGCGCACUACUCGCUUCGUCUCUUGAAAGUGACUCUCUCUUUCCGCUCUCUACAAUGCUGACACAUACCACAGCCUUCCCAUGCUCCUCCCCCUCCGCAGAUGGAGUUUUGGUUCCUUGCCGCCGUCACCUUUGGCUUGCUUGGCUGAGGACACUUAAAUUCCAGAGAUUAUCGUCGAUUUAAUAGCACAGAUACUACUUAAACUGAACUGAGCUGCAAUGACGUCUUUGAAUUCGAGGGGGGACCAUUCACACCUCUCCCGGGGCUACAGCCACCGUUAUCUACAAUGGAACAUCUUGCACUUGUUAGACAAGGCACAAAUAAAGUCUGAAAGUGAUGAAAGCCGGGAUGAAACAAACGAGCAGACGAAUAGCUCAAAGCUCAAUGCCUUUAACGAACCCAACCUCUCAAGAGAUAAAGAACUGGCAACUCAGCCACCAUUAUUCAGGCCUCCAGACAAGUGAAGUGGGACUGCGGCUCUUGGUCGUCUUGACGACGGAUGCUUUUUCAAGCAAAUCAGCCAAUGAAACGCGCACUGGUCGUCAUACAAAAGGCCAUGUGACUCUGGCUGCCUUUCAGCAGGAGAAGACGAGAAGCGCGAGGAUUAUUGACGUGGGAAUGACGGCGGUAAUGAUUUUUCUUUGCACUCUUUUGACUCUGUUUUUAUGGUGACUGCAGUCCCAUCACUGAAGUAGAUGUCUGGAAUAUAUUUGGGUUAAAUAGAGGCUGGAGGUGUGAGCCUCGGGGCUACGGAGAUGAAAGAUUGCCACCGUGUGGAGCAUUCGAGAAUUAUUCCAGUGGACCUCUAUUUUGAAAAUUAUGGGAGCGUUUUGAAAUAAUAAACCACUCAGUGACUCAAUUAUGACAAAUGUUUAUUUUAAUUAAGUAUAAAAAGAGAAGAAAUCACCAUUUAUACCUGAUAUACAAUAACAACACAUUUAUAUCACCUGCUUAUCAAAUAUUCUGUAGUAUUCCGCUUAUCAAAUAUUUUUCUGUUGUAGUAGUAGUAGUAAUGAUGAUAAUAUUAUUAAUAUUUAAUAAUAAUAUUAUUAUUAACGUUUUGAAAAAAUAGUUUUAUAAUCCGAAGCGCUGUAAUUGUCAAUAGCUUUGAAUUUUUAAGAAAUAAAGAAAUUAAUCUGGGUUUAAUUCAAAGUUUUAUUGUUUUUAUCAUCUGAAAAUUCCCUUUAAUUUCUGCGUUUUAAUGUUGUUUUUUAAUACGAGCACGAGGACAUUAAUAUGAGUAAUAAUGGGGGGAAAGAAACAAAAAUAAAAGAAGGAAUUACGGU
Molecule: long non-coding RNA, 1290 nt
Organism: Puntigrus tetrazona (Sumatra barb)
Lineage: Eukaryota; Metazoa; Chordata; Actinopteri; Cypriniformes; Cyprinidae
Exons: 4
Source: RefSeq, a predicted model, not a curated record